AUUGAACGCUGGCGGCAGGCCUAACACAUGCAAGUCGAGCGGUCACAGGAAGAGCCUUGUUUCUUUGCUGACGAGUCGCGGGCGUGAGAGAAAUGUCUGUAACCCUGCUUUAUGGAUGGGGUAACCUACUGAAAACGGUAGCUAAUACCGCAUAACGUCUCAAGCCCAAAAAUGGGGAGCUUCGGGCCGCUUGCCAUCGGCUGUGCCCAGAUGGGAUUAGCUAGUAGGUGGGGUAACGGCUCACCAAGGCGACGAUGCCUAGCUGGUCUGAGAGGGUGACCGGCCACACUGGAACUGAGACACGGUCCAGACUCCUACGGGAGGCAGCAGUAGGGAAUAUUGCGCAAUGGGCGCAAGCCUGACGGAGCCACGCCGCGUGAAUGAUGAAGGUCUUCGGGUUGUAAAACUCUGUUAUCGGGGAAGAAGAAAGGAGUAAGUAACUAUGCACGUAUUGACGGUACCUGAACAGAAAGCAACGGCUAACUCCGUG
Molecule: ribosomal RNA, 490 nt
Filed under: uncultured bacterium
Lineage: Bacteria
Description: partial 16S ribosomal RNA
Rfam family: Bacterial small subunit ribosomal RNA
Source: RNAcentral